AACGCACCUUGCGCUCCCGGCAGAUCUAAUCUGGGGAGCAUGCCUGUUUGAGGGCCGCGAAUUGUUUCGAACGACAGCUUUUUUCACGAAGAGUUGGCGGAUCGGUUUUGAGGGUCUUUUUUUUUUGCCAUUUACCGUGGCUCCCUCAAAAAGCAUUAGCGCAUCCAUUUGAUAGGCAAGACGGACGAAAGCUCAUCUUUCGCUCUCUCUUCCCUGCCGGGUUUUGAUAAUAUCAGGACUUCGGAGAGGUUGAGAUGGGUACGAGCUGGACGCAACGGCUUGCUGUUUGGAGUGCUUCUGAAACCCGCCCAUGCCGAGCUUUCGGAAGGGAUUUUCAUAAUUCAUCGGCCUCAGAUUGGUAGGACUACCCGCUGAACUUAA
RNAcentral lists this unclassified non-coding RNA (381 nucleotides) under uncultured fungus. RNAcentral describes it as "partial contains 5.8S ribosomal RNA, internal transcribed spacer 2, and large subunit ribosomal RNA". Lineage: Eukaryota; Fungi. The record is from RNAcentral.